Salvelinus sp. IW2-2015 is the source of this 3258-nucleotide non-coding RNA. NCBI's taxonomy places the organism in Eukaryota, Metazoa, Chordata, Actinopteri, Salmoniformes, Salmonidae. The record is from RefSeq and is a predicted model, not a curated record.
UCCAGGUUCCAGUUGCAGAGGGAGAUGUUCAGACCCAGAGUCCUAAGCUUGGUGACGAGGAUAGGGCUGCUGAUUUAGGAUUAGUUUUGCCUUUAAGAUCCCAAACAAUAUUACACAGACAGAGCGACCUGAUCCCAGAUCAGCACURCUACUGUGAGACACUUUAUGAAUACAGGCCCAGAGUUUGAUUCUAUUUGCCUYGAGUUUACAAAGGAUAUGACUGCCAUCUACUGCAUAAUAUUAUGUACUGUAUAUGGGACUCAAGUGUAUGGUAGUCCCAGCAGUUUUUCCAUCUGUUGUCUCUAGGUACUCGAUAAUGUUGACAUGGCGGUUAACGUUAGGGAUGCUGAGAACAACGUUAGCGAAGCUACCGUGACCCCCGCUGUCACUUCAAGAAUAUAUAGAUUCAAUGCGAAUUGGCUCAAAAUGUUCCCUGGCUAGAGUUCGAAAACAACGUCAUGUUCUGCAAAUAUUGUGUAGAGGGCAGAAACAGGCAGGCAACUCGUCCUUCGUGUCAGGAAACCCGCAUCUGACAAGAGAUAGGGUAGCGAACCAUAACAUCUCGCGGCGGCAUAUCCAGUGCAGAGAGCUGUACCUGUUGAGACAGGAGAAACCAUCAGGCACGGUGUCAGCAUCCUUGAGGCGGCAAGUGCUGCUGUCUGAGGAGGAGAAGAGGAGGCAGCUGAAAAUAAAGAUAAACAUCGCUUACUUCAUUGCGAAAGAAGAAGAACCUUUCGUCAAAUUUGGGUCGCUUAUCAGACUCCACCACAAAAACGUUGAAAUUUAUCCCACAUAUGACAAUGAUGUAAGAUGUGAGGAGAUGAUCAGUCAAAUUGCUGACAUAAUGAGAGAGAGCCUGUCAGCGAAGCUGAAGUAUCUUGCGGUUCUAAUAGACGGAGACUGAUAUAUCCAACACCGAAUGCGAGAUUGUCUACGUACGCUUGCUGGAGGAUAGGAAGCCAGUCAAUCAAUCUCCUGGUCGGACAACAGACCCUUGAGCACUCUCAUGCCAUUGGUAAGUUGCUCCUCUUUAUAGGCUUUAUUCUUGUGUAAAGUUGAAUCAUUAUUCAGUUUGUCAGAAGUACUUUUGUAUAWUUUUUUUUUUUGUGUUGUCAUUCGAGGUGUUUUGGAUGCCACCAAGGCCACAUUUCGGGCUGUUUGCCCAGAGGAGGAUGGAGGGUCAUGGAUGAAGAGGUACAUCUCCUUCAGGGCAGAUGGUGCCUCCGUGAACGUGGGCCACCGUGAGGGAGUGAUUGCCCACCUGCAGAGAGAGGCAGGGAGGCAUAUAAUCCCAAUCCACUGUAUGCCACAUAGAGAAUGUAUUAGUUACAAACCUAUGAUUUAGUUUUAUUUGCUAGCAGAGAAUGUCGAAGUGCAGCGCUAAGUGCUGGAAUGGUAAAUACCACAGAAUUAUUGUUUUCUGUUGGCAGAAGAGACGGGAGGAAGGAGACGGUGAAUUGUUAGGAAGAUUCUGUUCUGACUUCCACAGACUAGAGCUGGCAAUACUGACCAUUAAGAAGAAAGAGCCAAAGGUGUCUGUCGUGUACGAUCUUCUGAAUCUGAUAUGGAAGACGUAUCACUUCAGCGGAAAAUCCAAACGAGAGCUCUAUGUACUCAGGCAAGAGCUCUGUGUGGAUAUUUGCACACCGUCUAGCGUCAAGGGAACUCGCUGGAUCCCCCAUGUCCACAGAGCCCUCAAAGUGUUCCUACGGCAUGGACAAGACAAGGACCGUGCCACUGACGAAGGCCAGUACUCCGUUGUUCUCUAGCACAUGGAGCACCUGGCCAUAGCAUCAACACCAGCGGAAGUUCAAGGGCGGGCAAAGAAGGUCAGUUUUACACAGGAAAUGRAAUACCACACUCGUUUUAAAAAAUAGGCUCAAGACUCAAAUUAACUUUCAGAAUCAAGUAAUUGACAGGUGACAGUUUAUUUACUUACUACUUAACAGAAAAAGCGGGAAAUGGAGAAUGCACUCUUGUGUAUUCUGCCAUUUUCUUUCAGACAUGUUUGAGGAGCUAUCCUCACUUAGCCUCACCCUGCAAAGGAAUGACCUGAUCCUCCCCCAAGCCACAUCAGAGUUGAGGAAGACAGUGACCAGACUGGAAGCACUAAAGCUUAGGGCAAAGGCAGGAGGCAUGCUGGACAAGAUCCAGACCAUGCUUGCUCAGCAGCAGGGUGAUGAGUGGAGAUUCCAGGUGUGUUAGGAUGAGAGCUUGUUAGGAUCUAAGAGAAAUCGAUUAUUAAAAUCGAUGAUUAAGACAGAUUCUCAGUGUGAGAAUCAAUGUAUCCGUUGCCCAAUAGAACAAUUUGAGGAUAAGGAGGGAAAUGCAGUGGAGAAGUUUUUAAUUUUGUUUUAUGGGAGACAGACAAAUUGCCAGACAUUUCAUUGUGUGUUGGUGUAUGUGUCUCUGUGUGUGUGUGCGUUAUUUCUGUUGAAGGGAAUAACACUGAAGGGAAAUCUGAAAGGCUUCACGGACCUCGCCAAUCCCCAGCUGAAGUCGCACAUGGAGGCGGCCAUCAACAUCGGCGUGGAUGAUCUCAAAGCCAGGUUUGGUGGUUUCCUGAAGGAUGAGGGUGUCCAGACAUAUGGCCAGAAGACCAGGCCAGCCUUCUCACCUUUGGCGAUGAUGGUGUGGCAUACCUGAUGAGGCAUUUCAAGGAGCCUCUAGAGAGAUCAGGGUGCAACAUGGCUGUAAUCCAGGAUGAGUGGCAGGGGCUGAACAUCCUGGUCAGCCACAAUUUCAAGGACAAGUCCUACAGUGGCCUGUGGGAGACCAUGUUGACUAAGGACCCCUACUGGCACGAUUACAAGGUAGAUGUCAAGGGGUGAGUGUAGCUGGUGCGUGGAAGUCAGGCGCAGGAGAGCAGAGAUGAGUGGACAAAGCACUUUAGCCCAGUGUGAGCGAGGCUUCUCUGCGCAGAACCGGAUUAAUAAUUCGACAAGAAGCUGCCUUGGGGUCUCCACCACCGAAGACCUGAUGAGGAUCAGCCUGGACGGGCCUUCUGUCGAGGAGUUGGAUCCCACUCCUGCCGUGGACCGCUGGCUGACCUUUAAGCGUGCCAGACGGCCAACAUACAAAAGCAGCUGGACAACUGAUAUCCUUUGAGUCUAGUAGGCAUGGGUCAACGGGUGAUUUUGGUGGUAUGUGCUGUUCCACAGAUGUGUGUCCCUUGGUACACGCACUCACACUCACACACGCAGUAUAAAUAUGUAUGUAAUAAAUUGUUUGUUAAUAAACUCUGUGUUGCAUUUUUCA